GACGAACGCUGGCGGCGUGCCUAACACAUGCAAGUCGAACGGAGUGUUUCGCUGAUUUGAAGGAAGCUUGCUUCUGAAUUUUCUUGAAACACUUAGUGGCGGACGGGUGAGUAACGCGUGAGUAACCUGCCUCAUACAGGGGGAUAACAGUUGGAAACGACUGUUAAUACCGCAUAAGCGCACAGUACCGCAUGGUACAGUGUGAAAAACUCCGGUGGUAUGAGAUGGACCCGCGUCUGAUUAGCUAGUUGGUGAGGUAACGGCCCACCAAGGCGACGAUCAGUAGCCGGUCUGAGAGGAUGAACGGCCACAUUGGGACUGAGACAGGCCCAAACUCCUACGGGAGCAGCAGUGGGGAAUAUUGCACAAUGGGGGGAAACCCUGAUGCAGCGACGCCGCGUGAACGAAGAGUAUUCGGUAUGUAAAGUUCUAUCAGCAGGAAGAUGAUGACGGUACCUGACUAAGAGCACCGGCUAAAUACGUGCCAGCA
This 490-nucleotide ribosomal RNA is filed under the name uncultured bacterium. RNAcentral's name for it is "bacterial SSU rRNA". It matches the Rfam family "Bacterial small subunit ribosomal RNA", at positions 28 to 513 of the family's 1533-position model. The record is from RNAcentral.